UACGUAGGGGGCGAGCGUUGUCCGGAAUUACUGGGCGUAAAGGGCGCGUAGGCGGCCUGCUAAGUCGAACGUGAAAUCCCUCGGCUUAACCGGGGAACUGCGUCCGAUACUGGUUGGCUUGAGUUUGGGAGAGGGAUGCGGAAUUCCAGGUGUAGCGGUGAAAUGCGUAGAUAUCUGGAGGAACACCGGUGGCGAAGGCGGCAUCCUGGACCAAUACUGACGCUGAGGAGCGAAAGCCAGGGGAGCAAACGGG
This 253-nucleotide ribosomal RNA is filed under the name uncultured bacterium. RNAcentral's name for it is "partial 16S ribosomal RNA". It matches the Rfam family "Bacterial small subunit ribosomal RNA", at positions 524 to 776 of the family's 1533-position model. The record is from RNAcentral.